This 497-nucleotide ribosomal RNA is filed under the name uncultured bacterium. RNAcentral describes it as "partial 16S ribosomal RNA". It matches the Rfam family "Bacterial small subunit ribosomal RNA", at positions 28 to 507 of the family's 1533-position model. The record is from RNAcentral.
GAUGAACGCUGGCGGCGUGCCUAACACAUGCAAGUCGAACGGACAGACGAGGAGCCUGCGCCUUUGACGUUAGCGGAGGGCGGGUGAGUAACACGUGGAUCACCUACUUAUCUGUCUGGGAUAACUACGGGAAACCGGAGAUAAUACCGGAGAAUAUAUUGAACCGCAGGGUUCAAUGGUGAAAGACGGCUUUGGGGUCUGGAAUAGAUGGUUCCGCGCCGCAUUAGCUAGUUGGUAAGGUAACGGCUUACCAAGGCAACGAUGCGUAGCCGACCUGAGAGGGUGAUCGGCCACACUGGAACUGAGACACGGUCCAGACUCCUACGGGAGGCAGCAGUAGGGAAUCUGCGGCAAUGGGCGAAAGCCUGACGGAGCAACGCCGCGUGAGUGAUGAAGGUCUUCGGUGCGUAAAACUCUGUUAUUAGGGAAGAACAAAUGUGUAAGUAACCAUGCACGUCUUGACGGUACCUAAUCAGAAAGCCACGGCUAACUACGUG